Molecule: ribosomal RNA, 550 nt
Filed under: uncultured bacterium
Lineage: Bacteria
Description: bacterial SSU rRNA
Rfam family: Bacterial small subunit ribosomal RNA
Source: RNAcentral
UAGGGAAUCUUCGGCAAUGGACGGAAGUCUGACCGAGCAACGCCGCGUGAGUGAAGAAGGUUUUCGGAUCGUAAAGCUCUGUUGUAAGAGAAGAACGAGUGUGAGAGUGGAAAGUUCACACUGUGACGGUAUCUUACCAGAAAGGGACGGCUAACUACGUGCCAGCAGCCGCGGUAAUACGUAGGUCCCGAGCGUUGUCCGGAUUUAUUGGGCGUAAAGCGAGCGCAGGCGGUUAGAUAAGUCUGAAGUUAAAGGCUGUGGCUUAACCAUAGUAGGCUUUGGAAACUGUUUAACUUGAGUGCAAGAGGGGAGAGUGGAAUUCCAUGUGUAGCGGUGAAAUGCGUAGAUAUAUGGAGGAACACCGGUGGCGAAAGCAGCUCUCUGGCUUGUAACUGACGCUGAGGCUCGAAAGCGUGGGGAGCAAACAGGAUUAGAUACCCUGGUAGUCCACGCUGUAAACGAUGAGUGCUAGGUGUUAGACCCUUUCCGGGGUUUAGUGCCGUAGCUAACGCAUUAAGCACUCCGCCUGGGGAGUACGACCGCAAGGUUG